GCAUGGCCGAAUUCUGUUUUACUCUUUCUGUAGUAAAUACAGUCAGACACCAUGCCAGAUUACUCUGCUCUCUCUUUCCUUUCGUCUCAGUGGUACAUUAGUUAUCACUCAGUUAAAGGGAAAGCAAACAAUC
This is a small nucleolar RNA of Tachysurus fulvidraco (yellow catfish), 133 nucleotides long. RefSeq annotates it as small nucleolar RNA SNORA15. The record is from RefSeq and is a predicted model, not a curated record. Lineage: Eukaryota; Metazoa; Chordata; Actinopteri; Siluriformes; Bagridae. The transcript has a single exon.